UGGGGAAUAUUGCACAAUGGGCGCAAGCCUGAUGCAGCCAUGCCGCGUGUGUGAAGAAGGCCUUCGGGUUGUAAAGCACUUUCAGCGAGGAGGAAGGGUAGUGUGUUAAUAGCACAUUGCAUUGACGUUACUCGCAGAAGAAGCACCGGCUAACUCCGUGCCAGCAGCCGCGGUAAUACGGAGGGUGCAAGCGUUAAUCGGAAUUACUGGGCGUAAAGCGCACGCAGGCGGUUUGUUAAGUCAGAUGUGAAAUCCCGC
This 258-nucleotide ribosomal RNA is filed under the name uncultured bacterium. RNAcentral's name for it is "partial 16S ribosomal RNA". It matches the Rfam family "Bacterial small subunit ribosomal RNA", at positions 355 to 605 of the family's 1533-position model. The record is from RNAcentral.